This 301-nucleotide ribosomal RNA is filed under the name uncultured bacterium. Its description in RNAcentral is "partial 16S ribosomal RNA". It matches the Rfam family "Bacterial small subunit ribosomal RNA", at positions 509 to 807 of the family's 1533-position model. The record is from RNAcentral.
CAGUCGCCACGGUAAUACGAAGGGGGCGAGCGUUGCUCGGAAUGACUGGGCGUAAAGGGCGCGUAGGUGGUACGGACAGUCAGAUGUGAAAUUCCCGGGCUCAACCUGGGGGCUGCAUUUGAUACGUCCGAACUAGAGUGUGGAAGAGGGUCGUGGAAUUCCCAGUGUAGAGGUGAAAUUCGUAGAUAUUCGCAAGAACACCAGUGGCGAAGGCGGCUUACUGGCUCGAUACUGACGCUGAGGCGCGAAAGCGUGGGGAGCGAACAGGAUUAGAGACCCCCGUAGUCCCUGUCUCUUAUAC